GAUAACCUACGGGACGCAGCAGUGGGGAAUAUUGGACAAUGGGGGGAACCCUGAUCCAGCGACGCCGCGUGAGUGAAGAAGUAUUUCGGUAUGUAAAGCUCUAUCAGCAGGGAAGAAAGAAAUGACGGUACCUGACUAAGAAGCCCCGGCUAACUACGUGCCAGCAGCCGCGGUAAUACGUAGGGGGCAAGCGUUAUCCGGAUUUACUGGGUGUAAAGGGAGCGUAGACGGCGAUGCAAGUCUGAAGCGAAAGCCCAAGGCUCAACCAUGGGACUGCUUUGGAAACUGUUAAGCUAGAGUGCUGG
RNAcentral lists this ribosomal RNA (305 nucleotides) under uncultured bacterium. RNAcentral's name for it is "bacterial SSU rRNA". It matches the Rfam family "Bacterial small subunit ribosomal RNA", at positions 333 to 652 of the family's 1533-position model. The record is from RNAcentral.